This 497-nucleotide ribosomal RNA is filed under the name uncultured bacterium. RNAcentral's name for it is "partial 16S ribosomal RNA". It matches the Rfam family "Bacterial small subunit ribosomal RNA", at positions 28 to 507 of the family's 1533-position model. The record is from RNAcentral.
GAUGAACGCUGGCGGCGUGCCUAAUACAUGCAAGUCGAGCGAACAGAUAAGGAGCUUGCUCCUUUGACGUUAGCGGCGGACGGGUGAGUAACACGUGGAUAACCUACCUAUAAGACUGGGAUAACUUCGGGAAACCGGAGCUAAUACCGGAUAACAUAUUGAACCGCAUGGUUCAAUAGUGAAAGGCGGCUUUGCUGUCACUUAUAGAUGGAUCCGCGCCGAAUUAGCUAGUUGGUAAGGUAACGGCUUACCAAGGCAACGAUACGUAGCCGACCUGAGAGAGGGAUCGGCCACACUGGGAGAGGGACACGGGCCAGACUCCUACGGGAGGCAGCAGUAGGGAAUCUUCGGCAAUGGGCGAAAGCCUGACGGAGCAACGCCGCAUGAGUGAUGAAGGUCUUCGGAUCGUAAAACUCUGUUAUCAGGGAAGAACAAAUGUGUAAGUAACUGUGCACAUCUUGACGGUACCUGAUCAGAAAGCCACGGCUAACUACGUG